This 480-nucleotide ribosomal RNA is filed under the name uncultured bacterium. Its description in RNAcentral is "bacterial SSU rRNA". It matches the Rfam family "Bacterial small subunit ribosomal RNA", at positions 28 to 507 of the family's 1533-position model. The record is from RNAcentral.
GAUGAACGCUAGCGGGAGGCUUAACACAUGCAAGUCGAGGGGUAAAUGGUAGCAAUACUAUGAGACCGGCGGACGGGUGCGUAACGCGUAUGCAACAUACCUUGUGCAGGGGGAUAGCCCGUGGAAACGCGGAUUAAUAUUCCAUAGUCCAGCUAUAUCGCAUGGUAUAGUUGGUAAAGAUUUAUCGGCACAAGUUUGGCAUGCGUCUGAUUAGCUUGUUGGUAGGGUAACGGCCUACCAAGGCUACGAUCAGUAGGGGUUCUGAGAGGAUUAACCCCCCACACUGGUACUGAGACACGGACCAGACUCCUACGGGAGGCAGCAGUGAGGAAUAUUGGUCAAUGGGCGGAAGCCUGAACCAGCCAUCCCGCGUGAAGGAAGACAGCCUUACGGGUUGUAAACUGCUUUUACCCGGGAAGAAACCGCCCCCUGUGGGGGGCGUUGCCGGUACCGGGGGAAAAAGGAUCGGCUAACUCCGUG